This 681-nucleotide ribosomal RNA is filed under the name uncultured bacterium. Its description in RNAcentral is "bacterial SSU rRNA". It matches the Rfam family "Bacterial small subunit ribosomal RNA", at positions 72 to 784 of the family's 1533-position model. The record is from RNAcentral.
AGGGGACUUCGGUCCCUGAGUACAGUGGCGCACGGGUGAGUAACACGUGAAUCAUCUACCUUCGAGUGGGGAAUAACUGAGAGAAAUCUUAGCUAAUACCGCAUAAUACCUACGGGUCAAAGCAGCAAUGCGCUUGAAGAGGAGUUCGCGGCAGAUUAGUUAGUUGGCGGGGUAAUGGCCCACCAAGACGAUGAUCUGUAUCCGGCCUGAGAGGGCGCACGGACACACUGGAACUGAAACACGGUCCAGACUCCUACGGGAGGCAGCAGUGGGGAAUUUUGCGCAAUGGGGGAAACCCUGACGCAGCAACGCCGCGUGGAGGAUGAAAUCCCUUGGGAUGUAAACUCCUUUCGAUCGGGAAGAUAAUGACGGUACCGGGAGAAGAAGCCCCGGCUAACUUCGUGCCAGCAGCCGCGGUAAUACGAGGGGGGCAAGCGUUGUUCGGAAUUAUUGGGCGUAAAGGGUGCGUAGGCGGUUUGAUAAGUCACAUGUGAAAUCUUCGGGCUCAACCCGAAGUCUGCAUGCGAAACUGUCGGGCUUGAGUAUGGGAGAGGUGAGUGGAAUUUCCGGUGUAGCGGUGAAAUGCGUAGAUAUCGGAAGGAACACCUGUGGCGAAAGCGGCUCACUGGACCAUAACUGACGCUGAUGCACGAAAGCUAGGGGAAGCAACAGGAUUAGAUA